UGGGGAAUAUUGGACAAUGGGCGAAAGCCUGAUCCAGCCAUGCCGCGUGUGUGAAGAAGGUCUUCGGAUUGUAAAGCACUUUAAGUUGGGAGGAAGGGCAGUUACCUAAUACGUAUCUGUUUUGACGUUACCGACAGAAUAAGCACCGGCUAACUCUGUGCCAGCAGCCGCGGUAAUACAGAGGGUGCAAGCGUUAAUCGGAAUUACUGGGCGUAAAGCGCGCGUAGGUGGUUUGUUAAGUUGGAUGUGAAAUCCCCGGGCUCAACCUGGGAACUGCAUCCAAAACUGGCAAGCUAGAGUAUGGUAGAGGGUGGUGGAAUUUCCUGUGUAGCGGUGAAAUGUGUAGAUAUAGGAAGGAACACCAGUGGCGAAGGCGACCACCUGGACUGAUACUGACACUGAGGUGCGAAAGCGUGGGGAGCAAACAGGAUUAGAUACCCCUGUAGUCCCUGAGCGGGCUGGCAAGGCGCAU
This 472-nucleotide ribosomal RNA is filed under the name uncultured bacterium. RNAcentral's name for it is "bacterial SSU rRNA". It matches the Rfam family "Bacterial small subunit ribosomal RNA", at positions 355 to 825 of the family's 1533-position model. The record is from RNAcentral.